AGUGAACGCUGGCGGUAGGCCUAACACAUGCAAGUCGAACGGCAGCACAGUAAGAGCUUGCUCUUACGGGUGGCGAGUGGCGGACGAGUGAGGAAUAUAUCGGAAUCUACUUUUUCGGGGGGGAUAACGUAGGGAAACUUACGCCAAUAUCGCAGAUGAUCUACGGGUGAAAGCAGGGGAUCUUUGGACCUUGCGCGAUUGAAUGAGCCGAUGUCGGAUUAGCUAGUUGGCGGGGUAAAGGCCCACCAAGGCGACGAUCCGUGGAUGGUCUGAGAGGAUGAUCGGCCACACUGGAACUGGAACGCGGACCAGGCUCCUGCGAGAGGCAGCAGUGGGGAAUAUUGGGCAGUGGGGGCGAGCCUGAUACAGCCAUACCGCGUGUGAGAAGAAGGCGUUCGGGUUGUAAAGCCCUUUUGUUGGGUGUAAAAAGCAGCAGGUUGAUACGCAGCUGUUCUGACGGUACCCAAUGAAUAAGCACCGGCUAACUUCGUG
Molecule: ribosomal RNA, 492 nt
Filed under: uncultured bacterium
Lineage: Bacteria
Description: partial 16S ribosomal RNA
Rfam family: Bacterial small subunit ribosomal RNA
Source: RNAcentral